Molecule: ribosomal RNA, 404 nt
Filed under: uncultured bacterium
Lineage: Bacteria
Description: bacterial SSU rRNA
Rfam family: Bacterial small subunit ribosomal RNA
Source: RNAcentral
GGGAUAUUGGACAAUGGGGGGAACCCUGAUCCAGCGACGCCGCGUGAGUGAAGAAGUAUCUCGGUAUGUACUGCUCUAUCAGCAGGGAAGAAAGAAAUGACGGUACCUGACUAAGCAUCCCCGGCUAACUACGUUCCCGCAGCCGCGGUAAUACGUAGGGGGCAAGCGUUAUCCGGAUUUACUGGGUGUAAAGGGAGCGUAGACGGUUAUGCAAGUCUGAAGUGAAAGGCGGGGGCCCAACCCCCGGACUGCUUUGGAAACUGUAAAACUGGAGUGCAGGAGAGGUAAGUGGAAUUCCUAGUGUAGCGGUGAAAUGCGUAGAUAUUAGGAGGAACACCAGUGGCGAAGGCGGCUUACUGGACUGUAACUGACGUUGAGGCUCGAAAGCGUGGGGAGCAAACAGG